AUUGAACGCUGGCGGCAGGCUUAACACAUGCAAGUCGAACGGGGUGAUGGUGCUUGAACUAUCACUUAGCGGCGGACGGGUGAGUAAUGCUUCGGAAUCUGCCUAUUAGUGGGGGACAACAUCUCGUAAGGGCUGCUAAUACCGCAUACGUCCUACGGGAGAAUGCAGGGCAUCACUUGUGACCUUCUGCUAAUAGAUGAGCCUAGGUCGGAUUAGCUAGUUGGUGGGGUAAAGGCCUACCAAGGCGACGAUCUGGAGCGGGUCUGGGAGGAUGAGCCGCCACACUGGGACUGAGAAACGGCCCAGACUCCUACGGGAGGCAGCAGUGGGGAAUAUUGGAGAAUGGGGGGAACCCUGAUCCAGCCAUGCCGCGUGUGGGAAGAAGGCCUUAUGGUUGUAAAGCACUUUAAGCGAGGAGGAGGCUCUUUUGGUUAAUACCCAAGAUGAGUGGACGUUACUCGCAGAAUAAGCACCGGCUAACUAUGUGCCAGCCGCCGCCGUAA
RNAcentral lists this ribosomal RNA (503 nucleotides) under uncultured bacterium. RNAcentral's name for it is "partial 16S ribosomal RNA". It matches the Rfam family "Bacterial small subunit ribosomal RNA", at positions 30 to 523 of the family's 1533-position model. The record is from RNAcentral.